GGGCCUUCCUGGAGUGGCCUGUAUUCGUGCUUCUCUUCGGAGACGCGAAGCUACCCGACCUGAUGUCAUUUUAUCCGAGGGCGCGCCCGCUUGAGAAGACAGCGGUUUGACGUUGUGGUGUUACCCGGACGAGGCGCUUGUCUCGUAAGGGGAAGCUUCCGGGUCGGGCCGUGGCGCGUUCCUUGGCACAACUUUCCGCGGAAGUGGUAGGCGUUGACUUGCCCGCCGCGGGCCAUACUUUUCACAACUCUCGAAGAAAACCUGAAGUCUGAAUACCAAAACAAAAACGAAAAGCAAAACUUUCAACAACGGAUCUCUUGGCUCUGGCAACGAUGAAGAACGCAGCGAAACGCGAAAGGUAAUGCGAAUUGCAGAAUCAGUGAGUCAUCGAAUCUUUGAACGCACAUUGCGCCUCUCGGUAUUCCGGGAGGCACGCCUGUUCGAGCGCCAUUACAAACUCCAAGCGUGGCUUGAUGUUGGGCGAUGUCUUUUUGCGAGAGCGGGAGACACGCCUGGAACGCGUUGGCGCCGCCGCCGGACCACGAGCGUAGCAAGACGAGAGUCAAUCGCAUCGAUUUGGUUUCCGACGGAGGUCCGCCUUGUGACUGCACUUUCGAGUGUAGUUGAAAAACUUCUCAAGUUUGGCCUCGGAUCAGGCGGGGAUACCCGCUGAACUUAAGCAUAUCAAUAGGCGGAGGAAGGAUCAUUACUGAGUGGCUGUAUUCGUGCUUCUCUUCGGAGACGCGAAGCUACCCGACUGAAUGUCAUUUUAUCGAGGGCGCGCCUGCAUAAGAAGACGCUUUGAGUUUGUGGUGUUACCCGGACGAGGCGCUUGUCUCUAAGGGGAAGCUUCUGGUCGAGUCGUGGCGCAUUCUUGUGCACCCAUACGUGAUAGGCGAUGAGGUGGCCUACUCUCACUCCAAAAACCGUAAGCUGUAUUCAAACAAGCAAGAUAACUUACACAGAACUUGGUCCGGCAGAUGUAGAAUAGCAAUCCAUAGUAUUUGCAC
Molecule: ribosomal RNA, 1010 nt
Filed under: Scolecobasidium constrictum
Lineage: Eukaryota; Fungi; Ascomycota; Dothideomycetes; Venturiales; Sympoventuriaceae
Description: eukaryotic LSU rRNA
Rfam family: 5.8S ribosomal RNA (bases 298-450)
Source: RNAcentral